This 332-nucleotide ribosomal RNA is filed under the name uncultured bacterium. RNAcentral describes it as "bacterial SSU rRNA". It matches the Rfam family "Bacterial small subunit ribosomal RNA", at positions 568 to 898 of the family's 1533-position model. The record is from RNAcentral.
UGCGCAGGCGGUUUUGUAAGACAGGCGUGAAAUCCCCGGGCUUAACCUGGGAACUGCGUUUGUGACUGCAAGGCUAGAGUGUGGCAGAGGGGGGUAGAAUUCCACGUGUAGCAGUGAAAUGCGUAGAUAUGUGGAGGAAUACCGAUGGCGAAGGCAGCCCCCUGGGUCAACACUGACGCUCAUGCACGAAAGCGUGGGGAGCAAACAGGAUUAGAUACCCUGGUAGUCCACGCCCUAAACGAUGUCAACUAGGUGUUGGGGGAGGAGACUUCCUUAGUACCGCAGCUAACGCGUGAAGUUGACCGCCUGGGGAGUACGGCCGCAAGGUUGAA